Molecule: long non-coding RNA, 511 nt
Filed under: Pan troglodytes (chimpanzee)
Lineage: Eukaryota; Metazoa; Chordata; Mammalia; Primates; Hominidae
Description: lincRNA
Source: RNAcentral
ACCAGGUUCCUCAAAAAACAAACAACAACAACAAAAAAACCAACAAAACAUGAAGAAGCCAAAUCUGGAGGAUGAGUUUUCCAAAUUAAACACUGAAUAUUGUUGUAGAGUAAAAUGAUACUGUUUGUAAAGAGAUGUUUUUACUAGACAUCCUCUUCCUAGCCACCUAUUAAGGAAUAACUAGAAUAUAUAUUAACAGGAAGACAUCGGAAAUUAUCUUUGCACCUGAGAAAAUGUUAAGAUUCAGAAUUUGGCUGGAUGCUACUAAAGAGCUACUGAAAUAGACUCAAUGGCAGCUACAAUGCCCAACAGAAGCAGCGAUGCCUGGUGCACAUAGCAGGUUGCUAGCAGGAGUCUCCUGGGGUGAUUCACCUGUCUUGUUGGUGAGGAUAUGGACAUCAUCUGGGGACUCUCAGAAAUCCCUGAAGUGAUAUAGAGUCCCACAUGAGCUUGCCUAUGGUGUUUUACAAACCAAUAAUGUAGUGUUCAUAAACCAAAGUCACUUGGAGGU